GUUUUAAUAAUUUAAUAUAAAAUAUUGGUCUUGUAAAUCAAAAAUAAGAAAUAUUCUUUUAAAACU
RNAcentral lists this transfer RNA (66 nucleotides) under Pterostichus oblongopunctatus. RNAcentral's name for it is "tRNA-Thr". It matches the Rfam family "tRNA". From Rfam's summary of the family: Transfer RNA (tRNA) molecules are approximately 80 nucleotides in length. Lineage: Eukaryota; Metazoa; Arthropoda; Insecta; Coleoptera; Carabidae. RNAcentral also lists the same sequence under 1 other name. The record is from RNAcentral.